GAUGAACGCUGGCGGCGUGCUUAACACAUGCAAGUCGAACGAUGAUCCCCAGCUUGCUGGGGGGAUUAGUGGCGAACGGGUGAGUAACACGUGAGUAACCUGCCCUUAACUCUGGGAUAAGCCUGGGAAACUGGGUCUAAUACCGGAUAUGACCUCCUGCCGCAUGGUGGGGGGGUGGAAAGCUUUAUUGUGGUUUUGGAUGGACUCGCGGCCUAUCAGCUUGUUGGUGAGGUAAGGCUCACCAAGGCGACGACGGGUAGCCGGCCUGAGAGGGUGACCGGCCACACUGGGACUGAGACACGGCCCAGACUCCUACGGGAGGCAGCAGUGGGGAAUCUUGCGCAAUGGGCGAAAGCCUGACGCAGCGACGCCGCGUGGGGA
Molecule: ribosomal RNA, 381 nt
Filed under: uncultured bacterium
Lineage: Bacteria
Description: bacterial SSU rRNA
Rfam family: Bacterial small subunit ribosomal RNA
Source: RNAcentral